CAGUAUUUCUGAAAUUCUAUUUUC
RNAcentral lists this microRNA (24 nucleotides) under Macaca mulatta (Rhesus monkey). RNAcentral's name for it is "mml-miR-3167-5p". The record is from miRBase by way of RNAcentral. Lineage: Eukaryota; Metazoa; Chordata; Mammalia; Primates; Cercopithecidae.